This is a long non-coding RNA of Passer montanus (Eurasian tree sparrow), 3517 nucleotides long. RefSeq lists it as uncharacterized. The record is from RefSeq and is a predicted model, not a curated record. The transcript is spliced from 5 exons. NCBI's taxonomy places the organism in Eukaryota, Metazoa, Chordata, Aves, Passeriformes, Passeridae.
ACUAAAGGCCCCCCGGGUUCGUCUACUGGACUGCCUGCCGAGCAGCCUGACGCCGGCGCGGCCCCGGAGGAAUUUUCUGUGGCGACUCAAGUGCUGUGGACACGGGCUGUGCGCUCAGCGGCGCCGUGGGCGGUGCUGUUUGUGGCGGGCGCUGACAGGCUUGAGUGUAGACGCCUCUCUCUCUACCGAGGGCUUCUCGCGGCCGCCAUCUUGGGAGUGGCGUGUCGCGUCGUGUCGCGGACUCGCUUGACCUUCUCAAGAGGGCGGCCAAAAGAGCGGGAAAAACGAGGACCCCCCGUAUGUCUACUUGACUGCCUGCACAGCACCCUGGCGCCGGCGCGGCCCGGUAGGAUUUUCUGUGGCGUUUGAAGUGCUGUGGACACGGACUGUGUGCUCAGUGGCGCCGCCGGUCGUGUUUCGGCGGGUUGCUAACAGGCAUUGGCGAAAACGCCUCUGUUUGCCGAGGUCUUCUUACGGCCGCCAUCUUGGGAGUACCGUGUCGCGGACUCGCUUGACCUUCUCAAGAGGGCGGCAAAAAAAAGCGGGAAAAUCCUGUUUAGACGAUAAUAGCCGAAUUUAGCCGAAGAACCGAAAAUAGCCGAAUGUAGCCGAUAAUUGCCGAGUGUAGCCGAAGAGCCGAAAAUAGCCGAUAAUUGCCGAGUGUAGCCGAAGAGCCGAAAAUAGCCGAUAAUUGCCGAGUGUAGCCGAAGAGCCGAAAAUAGCCGAUAAUUGCCGAGUGUAGCCGAAGAGCCGAAAAUAGCCGAUAAUUGCCGAGUGUAGCCGAAGAGCCGAAAAUAGCCGAUAAUUGCCGAGUGUAGCCGAAGAGCCGAAAAUAGCCGAUAAUUGCCGAGUGUAGCCGAAGAGCCGAAAAUAGCCGAUAAUUGCCGAAGAGCCGAAACAAGCCUAGUGUAGACGAACAAGCGAGCCGAACAAGCCGAAUUCAGCCGAGUUUAUUUGAAGAGACCCGACCGUCGCCGCCUUCAGCCGAAUCGAAGGAGCUGAACCGAACCAAGGCGAGACCAGCCGAACCUUACGACGUCGACGGAACCGAGGGCGAUGGCUGGGCAGCACCGAGCUUCGUGUGUCGAACGUGAGGCCGCGCCGCCCUCAGAGUUCAGCCGAGCUCUGCCGAACCAAGCCGAGUGCAGCCGAACCGAGCAGAGUAAUUCAAAAAGCAGAAACAAAGCCACCGAGUCUCAGCAGCAGGCCCAGCACAGGAAGGUAGGCUUGGAAUUUUCUUUGCUAAGCUGUAGGUGUAUUCAAGACAUCUUUCCUUUUUGUUUGACAGAAGCAAGACAAAAAAUAAUUCUUACCAAAACAGGAUGUUUUCUUUCCUGUCUAUCAAGCAGCCAGAUACCACCAGCUAGCUAUCCAUACUUUAAAAUCAGCUAGAGAACUUGCAUUCCAGAGAGCUGGGACUGUGAGGAAAGCUCCAGCCUGCUCUGUUAAUUGUUAAACACCCCUGGAACAGCAGAGAGGUUGGAGGAGGGUGGAAGAGUUCCAGUGUCCCAGUACCCAAGGAAACCCACCUGGUCGGGUCAGGUCACUCUUAGGCAGUGCUGCAACUGACCUCAGCCUAGACAAAAUCACAGAACUAAAGCUGAGCUAAGAUACAGCUGGAAAAGUCUUUCUUUUUGGAUGUUUAUACACACCAUUGAAACAAAUGUUAAUGGUCUCCAUCCCAGCAGGGCGAUCAUCAGCUGCCUUGGCAGGCAGAUGGGUUUGAAAUCAGUGGUGCCAUGCUCCAGACCUUCUGUCUUAUUUCUGUGGGAUGGUACAGUGCUGACAAAAGGGACUGGGACAUGGAUCCCUCUCUGCAGGGCUUGGACAGGCAUCAGCCUUCCCCCUCUCCCAAACUCACCCACCAAAACUGGCACCAAACCCUUGGGGAUUGCAGGGAAGUGUGUGCUGCAAUCAGACCGGGGAUUCACGUCCAGGAGAUCUCCGUGCCUCAGGAUUCAGCUGUGCCUGAGAGAGGAGAGCUGUGGCCUUUUGGAGGACACCUGGCAGGGACUGGUUUCUGUGCAGAUGUGCAGGGUGAGCUGGGAGAGCACAGGGGUCCUGCCCGUGCCUGGGCUCGGCAGAGAUGGAUGAGCACAGAAAGGAUGAAGGUGAAAGCUCUCCAGCCUUGACCGGUGACGUGAGCAGGCGCUGGCUGGAGCAGGACAUACACAGCAGAACAAGGAAAAGAAAGGUCACGAAGGCAGCGAGGCCCACCCAGAAGGCGAUGACGAUGGAGUCUGUGGGCACAGCAGAGGGAUUGUGUCACAUGCCCUUUUUGCACGGCAGAAAUGAAACACAGCAAGAGGAAAGAGGGUGCGCAUCUUGUCUCCAGAAGCAGUUUCUACAAAUUUCAAGAACACUGGCAGCUGAAGAAAAAUUCCCUACCAACUGCCAGGGAGGGAAGUGCUAUAACACAAAUGCCACCUCUGUAAUGCACCAGGUAAUAUCCAAAUGGUAGAAAAAUGUUAUUAAGGAGAAAACAGGGGAAACGUUUAUUCCUGAUUCCUGGGUUUUGCUAUGCCAGUGAGACUUACAUCUAGCUUAGCUAAGCAGUUUGGGGUUUCCCUGGUGGAAUUUGGGGGUAAUCAUCUGCCCUAACUUUAAACUAAGAGAAUCAGAGGAGCUGCUCAUAAUUUGGCUGGUCUCAGCAGCUCCAAGUGCUGCUCUGCAGCAUUGGAGAGCAAGAUUUUCUGUAUGGAGGGAUGUGGAUACUCACAUCACUUUCUUUAAGGUGUGGUGCUCUAAGUUUGGAGGCAGUAAACCCUCAGCUGAUCUGAAAGCACAGAAAAGCUUUUCCAGAGGUGGUGCAGAGCAAGUUUCUGCUCCUUUUUGCUACUGCUGUCCAAGCAAGCGAAGGACAAGCAGCUCCUAACACCAUUCACCAUCAGAUGAAGGCAGUUUCUUGCAUUGUUAAUGAGAGAGACAUUAAGAUAUUCUGAAAGGCAAUCACAUUUUCCUAGAAUAUAUAAUAAUUUCAUUGUAAUAACCUUGUGAAAAACAAUUUUAGUCUCUGAAUCCACAUCUGAACAGUUUUAGGCAUCUUCAGGGAUGGGAGGGAAGGUCAAAGAAUAUGUUUGCAGCUUAUUGUUCCUGGCUAGUGGAAACAUACAUUUCCUAUACUAAAAGUGAAUGCUUACCAGUUGCAAUGCCAGCCUUGUCCCAGGAUGAAAACAGUGUUUUUAUGAAAAAACCUCUGCUCCUUCAGUGAACUUUGGUGACAGCAGCACACAGGUAACUAGCACCCCACAAUACAGAUCCACAAGUCAUCACAUUUCCCCUUAGCAAAUGACUCAUAAAAAAAUCUGCCCUUGUAAACAAGAAUUAGUGUCAGCAGUCUUAUAGCUUCAGAUACUGUAAGAUAAAGCCCAGAGGGUUUGUUAGUAAUUAUCCAGCCUGAAGGCAAACACCCAUUCACACAAACCAGGCACUGGCAUGGACUCUGUUGCAAGGAAACAAAACCAGGUCAGUGAGACAAGCUACGCAACAUUUUCCCUGUGCUACAGUAGCAUAUACC